AAGCAGCACUGUGCAACUGUGU
Molecule: microRNA, 22 nt
Filed under: Branchiostoma floridae (Florida lancelet)
Lineage: Eukaryota; Metazoa; Chordata; Leptocardii; Amphioxiformes; Branchiostomatidae
Also listed under: 2 other names
Description: bfl-miR-2064
Source: miRBase by way of RNAcentral